GACGAACGCUGGCGGCGUGCUUAACACAUGCAAGUCGAACGGAAAGGCCCUGCUUUUGUGGGGUGCUCGAGUGGCGAACGGGUGAGUAACACGUGAGUAACCUGCCCUUGACUUUGGGAUAACUUCAGGAAACUGGGGCUCAUACCGGGUAGGAGCUACUGCUGCAUGGUGGGGGCUGGAAAGUUUCGGCGGUUGGGGAUGGACUCGCGGCGUAUCAGCUUGUUGGUUGGGUAGUGGAUUACCAAGGCUUUGAAGGGUAGCCGGCCUGGGAGGGGGAGCGGACACAUUGGGACUGGGAUACGACACAGACUCCUACGGUAGGCAGCAGAGGGGAAUAUUGCACAGUGGGCGGAAGCCUGAUGCGACAACGCCGCGUGGGGGAUGACGGCCUUCGGGUUGUAAACCGCUUUCGCCUGUGACGAAGCGUGAGUGACGGUAAUGGGUAAAGAAGCACCGGCUAACUACGUG
RNAcentral lists this ribosomal RNA (468 nucleotides) under uncultured bacterium. RNAcentral describes it as "partial 16S ribosomal RNA". It matches the Rfam family "Bacterial small subunit ribosomal RNA", at positions 28 to 507 of the family's 1533-position model. The record is from RNAcentral.